CAUAAAUGUCAUGUUGGAUUUUAGUUUCCUUGCCCAUAUGCAGGUGCGCACAGAAGAACAGACUUUACUGUUAUGAGGGUUUGUUUUUAAUCAGUCAAACGAUUGUUCAAGAAUCGAGACUAGAGGACGUCAGAAGGAAACGAGAGUCCAGGUAGGUUUGGGGGUCCGGGACAGCAGCGGAUCGGAACGGCUUGGAGGUGCCAACCAACGAGACGCGCCCGACCAGCGAAGUUCCAGGCUUGGCUCCGGGAAACGUGAUCAAGGUCUGAGAGGUAACAGAGAGAAAAGGACAAAAUGACUGGACAAUACUUAACAUGGACCAUGAGAGAUCUUAGGGCUGAGUCUGGCCAACAAGUGGUAACCAUCGAGUAAUGACUGGUGGUUCCACCGCUUCUUAAGAAGCCUGCCGCUGGUUACCGGAAUCCGUUGCAGGUGCGUCAGGCUGUCAAACUCCUCCACGUAGCUCGUCUCUGGAAAGAACCCUCGCUCCAACCUGAAUCCUGACAACCAUAGUGCCCAU
Xiphophorus couchianus (Monterrey platyfish) is the source of this 520-nucleotide long non-coding RNA. RefSeq lists it as uncharacterized. The transcript has 3 exons. NCBI's taxonomy places the organism in Eukaryota, Metazoa, Chordata, Actinopteri, Cyprinodontiformes, Poeciliidae. The record is from RefSeq and is a predicted model, not a curated record.